Molecule: long non-coding RNA, 1799 nt
Organism: Ailuropoda melanoleuca (giant panda)
Lineage: Eukaryota; Metazoa; Chordata; Mammalia; Carnivora; Ursidae
Exons: 3
Source: RefSeq, a predicted model, not a curated record
UGGGGCUGGGGUUUCGAGAGCCCAGAUGUGCCCAGAGAGUCAGCACCACCCCCACAGAACAGAAACCGUGUCCAGGACUCAGACCCCGUAACUAGUGACUCCAGGGUGUGGGGCCCUAAGCUUCAGUGGUAGCUCAAAGCACGGCCUCUUGGGGUUGGACCUGACUCCAGAGGGAGGCAACUGCCCUUCUCAGCUGUGUGAUUUUGCACAAAAGCUCUUCCCUCUCUCAGCCUCAAUCUCCUAAUCUGCAAAAUGGAAAGAAUGAGGCCCCCUGACCACUCUCUCGGGUGAGCUACCAGAUGCCGGUCACGUGCCAGGACUGAGUGUUCCGGGGAUAGGAAAACUGAAUCAGAGAGAAUAGAUCAAGUCCCCUAAGGCGACACAGAACAAAAGCAGCACAGCAGGACUCGGACCCUGGCAGUCUGGCUUCAAAGCGCUCAUUUUUCACCAUGCCAGCUACUUCUCUCUCCCUAACCGGUGAAAGGAUGCUCCAGUGGUGUUGGGGCCUAGCCCUCUAGCUUCUCUGCUGGGAUGAAACAGAAGCUCUUGAGGGCAGGGACCACAUCUUCAGCACUAAUUCCUCAGUGCCGGGCACAUCCUAGGCUUGCAAGAAUGAUCGUUGAGUGAAUGCAUACAUCAUCCCCCAGCUGUGUGGAUUUGCACGGAGGCCCUAAGAAAGGCCCCCCGGGGGGGGGGUGGCCAGCACACUGAUGAAGUCUGAAGCCCAUUCUCAAAUGAUUCCAGUUCCCAGAAAGAGCCAGAACCAGGCAGCAGAGGCCUCUCCAGGGGGGAUACUGGUGCCCCACUCCCCACUCCCCUGCAAAAAUCAAGGACAGCAGGAAAUAUGUUCUGAGAAGCUGUGGGUCAGAAAUGAGACUGAAAUGAAGUGGAUCAAAGGCUCCCAGCUCCUGAGAAGAAAGGUGCGGGGCGGGUGAGGGGUACUGCCAAAUUUCAGCUCUCGGAGUCCGCUGGGAGGGGUCGCGCACCAUGCCAAAGGGUAUUUAAAACCAAAGCCCUUUGCUGGAAUUUGUAAAGCAGCCACCAGAGGCACGAUGACCUGCAGCAGAGGUGGGAUGAGGAGCACAGAGAGCUACUCUAAGUAGAAGAGCGGAUUUCAGGACAACUGAACAGAGACUUGCAGCCAUCCUAACAAGGUCACCCCACGCAGAUGGGGAACAGGACAGGCUAGCUCAGCUCUGCGCGGGACUGGGGGUGGGGAGGGCUGCAGGCUUGGUCGCGAGAGGAAAAGCUGACCGGACUGGAGAAAACACAGAGAACAUGCUGCAGCCAAGGGCGUGGGUGAGGAUGCGGUAGGAAUCCAAGUGGGUGAGUGUGUUGCUUAUUUCUUGUGGCUUUCCAGAACACCGAGGAAGAGACAGGAGAACGCCCAGCAGCCGGGGGCAGGGGAAUGCGGCUGCCACAGCCUUUAAUUUGAAACUCCGAGAGGAGUUCCACACCAAGGCUGACUCCUGCGGCCUUUGCCUUGAGAUUUUUGUUGUUGUUGUUGUGAUCUGCAUUACAACCAUCUAUUUGCAUCUCAACUGUCAUGCAGAGCAAAUGGGUUGUUGGUGGUUUCAGCCCAUCCUAUCCCUUCCUUCUGGGGCUUCUGUGAGUUUCCUGUAGCUGGGCAAAGGAGAGAAAUUACUCAGUGGGACUUGACAAUGAGGAUGGAGUCCUUGGGAGACAGAAAGGGCUUCUUUCAAGUACCAUUGUUGUCUCGCAUUUUCCUGCAGAGGCGAGAUUCAGCAAGAAACUGGGCAGAAUCUUCCGUCUGGAGGGGAUGCCAGCAUUGCCUAGUC